This is a long non-coding RNA of Grammomys surdaster, 341 nucleotides long. RefSeq lists it as uncharacterized. NCBI's taxonomy places the organism in Eukaryota, Metazoa, Chordata, Mammalia, Rodentia, Muridae. The transcript is spliced from 2 exons. The record is from RefSeq and is a predicted model, not a curated record.
UUCCCAGCUUUAGUAUGUCCUGCCCGCUUUGAGCGACUCCAACAAAGAACACCAUCAGUGUUGCUCUCCACCAACCACCACUGAGUGACUCAACUCUAGAGCUGAGGACUGAACCCAGGACCUUGUGCUUACUAGGCAAGCACUCUACCACUGAGCUAAAUCCCCAAUCCCAUCCCCCUAAUUCUAAAACUAUAACCUCCUUAAAGAUAUACAGUUCUCUUUAACAGUAUAUUUAAGUUGAUUACCCUGCCUUGCCCGUACUUAAAACUAUUAGAUAUUCAGAAUAUAACCAUUCAUGUUUUCUGUGUUUCAAAUAAAGCUUAGUAAGUUACAAUUCAAAA